AUACGUAUGGUGCAAACGUUGUUCGGAAUCACUGGGCAUAAAGAGCACGUAGGCGGGGGGGUAAGUCUGAUGUGAAAUCCCUCGGCCCAACCGAGGAACUGCAUCGGAUACUGCCCGACUCGAGUGCAGUAGAGGAGAGCGGAAUUCCGGGAGUAGCGGUGAUAUGUGUAGAUACCCGGAGGAACACCCGUGGCGAAAGCGGCUCUCUGGGCUGUACCUGACGCUAAGGCACGAAAGCGUGGGGAGCAAACCGGAUUAGAUACCCGAGUAGUCC
RNAcentral lists this ribosomal RNA (274 nucleotides) under uncultured bacterium. RNAcentral describes it as "partial 16S ribosomal RNA". It matches the Rfam family "Bacterial small subunit ribosomal RNA", at positions 523 to 796 of the family's 1533-position model. The record is from RNAcentral.